This 229-nucleotide long non-coding RNA is filed under the name Elaeis guineensis (African oil palm). RNAcentral describes it as "long non-coding RNA (EGUI_LNC012706)". Lineage: Eukaryota; Viridiplantae; Streptophyta; Magnoliopsida; Arecales; Arecaceae. The record is from RNAcentral.
UGGUGAUCCGGAUUAAGUAUGAGAUGGAGUGAGAUGUAGAUGGAGAGGAGUGUGGAAGUCUCACGUAUUCUGGGUGAUACCCGAAGUGUCCAGAUGGGUUCCGAGGUGAGCGUAGGGUUAGUAGGAGAGAUAAAUCUAGUAUGUGUGGAGCUCAUCUUCGGGAGAUGGCAUAUAGAGCAAGUGUUCACUUACCUGAAGGAUCUGGAGAACUUAAAGUUUAUGGACGAAG